Triticum aestivum (bread wheat) is the source of this 519-nucleotide long non-coding RNA. RefSeq lists it as uncharacterized. The record is from RefSeq and is a predicted model, not a curated record. Lineage: Eukaryota; Viridiplantae; Streptophyta; Magnoliopsida; Poales; Poaceae. The transcript has 3 exons.
UCUAAAAUUGUCAUCAUGAUCCUAGCAAAUACUCCUCAAAUUACUGUAAAUUGUUGCACGAUUAGGGGCUAGUGUAGAUGCAAAAUAAGGUUGCACUUUUAGAGGAGAUAAGCCACUGAUGUUGGAUGCUUGGUAGUUGUCUUGUGUUGUGUGAAUGUCGGUACUAGCAGUAUGUCCGUGAGCAACAAGCAUACGAUUUGUGCCUAUGCUCUACUGUAUUGGCCUCAUGGGUCAUCGUUGAUUGACCAGGACUAUAGAUUAUUCCUUCAGCGUACUAUCGCUUUCUCAAGUCAACUCAAGCAACAAUUCAUGUGGCUCGCUCAAUCGGUCAGAGAGCUGAACGGGGCGAGGCUGGAGGCGUCAGUGAGGGCGUACGGCGGCGCCGGCCAGAGCAAGGUGUCCAACAAAUGGUUUGUAAGUUAAAAUGAUGCCCAGGGUUCAGGACAUGUGUGAUUUCUCUUGACAUAGGUGCUCCUUCAUUGCCGCUGCCAUAUGCCAGAGCCGGCAAUGAACUCCUGG